Molecule: long non-coding RNA, 511 nt
Organism: Drosophila miranda
Lineage: Eukaryota; Metazoa; Arthropoda; Insecta; Diptera; Drosophilidae
Exons: 2
Source: RefSeq, a predicted model, not a curated record
CAUUUCUGUUUUCCAAGGGGAUUUGAAACAUUCUCAGAUUGACAUGUUUUCGACCUAUUCACGCAUUUGAGUUUCGAUGCGAGAAUGUCUGUUAAUGACACCGAUUCUUCGAUAUCGUAAUCCUGGUAAUUGUCGUGGCCUACUACAAUUUGGUUUCGGAUUUUCGCAGAAAAACCGCGCAUGCAGGCGUUGCCAGAUCGGAAAGUAAAAAAAAAAAAAAAAGCUGUGCAACUAAGAAUGGAAUGGACUUAAUUCUCCACCGUAACUUUCCCACGACAACGGAAACACACUGUGAAUUGUGUAUGCAAUUUUCACUCCAAUAUACGUUGGCAGCCACUCAGCAACACACACAUGCAGAGCUCCCACAUGCGCUGCGUACGUGUACUGUGCAUGCGGAUGUGUGCGAGAAGCCCGCGGAAAAGCACAACAAGAACAACAAUAGAACGGAGAUUAUCAUACGAUACUUGUGAGCACCAAUAAAACGAAUCCACAUGAGCGUUUCACAGAGCAA